Molecule: ribosomal RNA, 1430 nt
Filed under: metagenome
Description: bacterial LSU rRNA
Rfam family: Bacterial large subunit ribosomal RNA
Source: RNAcentral
AAGCGGGCGAAUGGAAGAGCCCGUCUAAGCAGUGAGGUGUGAUAUGAGUCAAAUGCUUGUAUCUGUAACAUUGAGCUGUGAUGGGGAGCGAAAUUAAGUAGCGAAGUUAGUGACGUCACACUGCCAAGAAAAGCUUCUAGCGAUAAGUAUACACUACCCGUACCGCAAACCGACACAGGUAGUCGAGGCGAGUAGCCUCAGGUGAGCGAGAGAACUCUCGUUAAGGAACUCGGCAAAAUGACCCCGUAACUUCGGGAGAAGGGGUGCUGACUUUUAGUCAGCCGCAGUGAAUAGGCCCAAGCAACUGUUUAUCAAAAACACAGCUCUCUGCUAAAUCGUAAGAUGAUGUAUAGGGGGUGGCGCCUGCCCGGUGCUGGAUGGUUAAGAGGAGGGUUUAGCGUAAGCGAAGAUCUGAAUUGAAGCCCCAGUAAACGGCGGCCGUAACCAUAACGGUCCUAAGGUAGCGAAAUUCCUUGUCGGGUAAGUUCCGACCCGCACGAAAGGCGUAAUGAUUUGGGCACUGUCUCAACGAGAGACUCGGUGAAAUUUUAGUACCUGUGAAGAUGCAGGUUACCCGCGACAGGACGGAAAGACCCCAUGGAGCUUUACUGCAGUUUGAUAUUGAGUAUCUGUACCACAUGUACAGGAUAGGUAGGAGCCUAAGAAAUCGGGACGCCAGUUUCGAUUGAGGCGCUGUUGGGAUACUACCCUUGUGUUAUGGCUACUCUAACCCGGUAGGUUAAUCAUCUACGGAGACAGUGUCUGACGGGCAGUUUGACUGGGGCGGUCGCCUCCUAAAAGGUAACGGAGGCGCCCAAAGGUUCCCUCAGAAUGGUUGGAAAUCAUUCGCAGAGUGUAAAGGUAUAAGGGAGCUUGACUGCGAGAGCUACAACUCGAGCAGGGACGAAAGUCGGGCUUAGUGAUCCGGUGGUUCCGUAUGGAAGGGCCAUCGCUCAACGGAUAAAAGCUACCCUGGGGAUAACAGGCUUAUCUCCCCCAAGAGUUCACAUCGACGGGGAGGUUUGGCACCUCGAUGUCGGCUCGUCGCAUCCUGGGGCUGUAGUCGGUCCCAAGGGUUGGGCUGUUCGCCCAUUAAAGCGGCACGCGAGCUGGGUUCAGAACGUCGUGAGACAGUUCGGUCCCUAUCCGUCGCGGGCGUAGGAAAUUUGAGAGGAUCUGCUCCUAGUACGAGAGGACCAGAGUGGACUUACCGCUGGUGUACCAGUUGUCUCGCCAGAGGCAUCGCUGGGUAGCUAUGUAGGGAAGGGAUGAACGCUGAAAGCAUCUAAGUGUGAAACCCACCUCAAGAUGAGAUUUCCCAUAACAUUAAGUUAGUAAGAGCCCUGAGAGAAGAUCAGGUAGAUAGGUUGGAAGUGGAAGUGUGGCGACACAUGUAGCGGACCAAUACUAAUCGCUCGAGGACUUAUCCG